This 253-nucleotide ribosomal RNA is filed under the name uncultured bacterium. Its description in RNAcentral is "partial 16S ribosomal RNA". It matches the Rfam family "Bacterial small subunit ribosomal RNA", at positions 524 to 776 of the family's 1533-position model. The record is from RNAcentral.
UACGAAGGGGGCGAGCGUUGUUCGGAAUUACUGGGCGUAAAGGGCGCGCAGGCGGCCUUUGAAGUCAGGCGUGAAAGCCCCGGGCUCAACCUGGGAAUUGCGUUUGAUACUCGAAGGCUGGAGUUCGGGAGAGGAGAGUGGAAUUCCCAGUGUAGAGGUGAAAUUCGUAGAUAUUGGGAAGAACACCGGUGGCGAAGGCGGCUCUCUGGACCGAAACUGACGCUGAGGCGCGAAAGCGUGGGGAGCAAACAGG